UAGAAUAGUCGAAAAACAAAAAGGGGUUCCGAAAGUGUUUUGUUGCUGUGACUGACUCGCCUACAGAAAAUAUGCACAUACCACAUAAGUAUACGUCAAUGUCUGUAAUAAUGGUAGAUCAAAUGUUUCAUCUGUGUGAAACUUUUUGCUAAUCGAAAUGUUAAACCAACCACCAAUCCAUGUACAUGGAUGCGCUACGUAAACAAAGUUGUUGAUUGAUGCAUCGUAAUGUCCGAGUGCUGCAUGCUGAGAGAUUAAAUACUGUUUAUACAGUCAUUGAGAGGCUAAACAAAGUUUCUUGCAAGAAGAGGAAGUUGGUGGAUGCAUUCAACUUGGACAACGAAAUCAUAGUUUCGUUUGGCAUCAGCCUGAGGACCAAUGGAGGUUAGAUAGGACCAGUGCAGGUUGAAGUGGAUUUCGAGUCAACAAGUAUAACAGCAAGAGAGGUACUCCAUUUACAGUGAUGAUGACAUAUCCCCAUGACCCCCACAACUCCACAAAUUUAAAAAUGUUUGAUCAAGUUCCGAAGAUUAAAUAACUACUGCAAAAUUUGGGACUGGAUGAAAAACAUUAAUUCACUUAUAUGAGCUCAGAGCAGUGGAUGUUAUGCAACAUACUUUAAACUAAAUUGUGAAUUUAAGGGAAAACA
Ostrea edulis (European flat oyster) is the source of this 649-nucleotide long non-coding RNA. RefSeq lists it as uncharacterized. The transcript is spliced from 3 exons. NCBI's taxonomy places the organism in Eukaryota, Metazoa, Mollusca, Bivalvia, Ostreida, Ostreidae. The record is from RefSeq and is a predicted model, not a curated record.